RNAcentral lists this ribosomal RNA (992 nucleotides) under Enterococcus durans. Its description in RNAcentral is "bacterial SSU rRNA". It matches the Rfam family "Bacterial small subunit ribosomal RNA", at positions 56 to 1019 of the family's 1533-position model. The record is from RNAcentral. Lineage: Bacteria; Bacillati; Bacillota; Bacilli; Lactobacillales; Enterococcaceae.
UGCAGUCGUACGCUUCUUUUUCCACCGGAGCUUGCUCCACCGGAAAAAGAAGAGUGGCGAACGGGUGAGUAACACGUGGGUAACCUGCCCAUCAGAAGGGGAUAACACUUGGAAACAGGUGCUAAUACCGUAUAACAAUCGAAACCGCAUGGUUUUGAUUUGAAAGGCGCUUUCGGGUGUCGCUGAUGGAUGGACCCGCGGUGCAUUAGCUAGUUGGUGAGGUAACGGCUCACCAAGGCCACGAUGCAUAGCCGACCUGAGAGGGUGAUCGGCCACAUUGGGACUGAGACACGGCCCAAACUCCUACGGGAGGCAGCAGUAGGGAAUCUUCGGCAAUGGACGAAAGUCUGACCGAGCAACGCCGCGUGAGUGAAGAAGGUUUUCGGAUCGUAAAACUCUGUUGUUAGAGAAGAACAAGGAUGAGAGUAACUGUUCAUCCCUUGACGGUAUCUAACCAGAAAGCCACGGCUAACUACGUGCCAGCAGCCGCGGUAAUACGUAGGUGGCAAGCGUUGUCCGGAUUUAUUGGGCGUAAAGCGAGCGCAGGCGGUUUCUUAAGUCUGAUGUGAAAGCCCCCGGCUCAACCGGGGAGGGUCAUUGGAAACUGGGAGACUUGAGUGCAGAAGAGGAGAGUGGAAUUCCAUGUGUAGCGGUGAAAUGCGUAGAUAUAUGGAGGAACACCAGUGGCGAAGGCGGCUCUCUGGUCUGUAACUGACGCUGAGGCUCGAAAGCGUGGGGAGCAAACAGGAUUAGAUACCCUGGUAGUCCACGCCGUAAACGAUGAGUGCUAAGUGUUGGAGGGUUUCCGCCCUUCAGUGCUGCAGCUAACGCAUUAAGCACUCCGCCUGGGGAGUACGACCGCAAGGUUGAAACUCAAAGGAAUUGACGGGGGCCCGCACAAGCGGUGGAGCAUGUGGUUUAAUUCGAAGCAACGCGAAGAACCUUACCAGGUCUUGACAUCCUUUGACCACUCUAGAGAUAGAGCUUCCCCU